Molecule: ribosomal RNA, 1461 nt
Filed under: metagenome
Description: bacterial LSU rRNA
Rfam family: Bacterial large subunit ribosomal RNA
Source: RNAcentral
GGGACGGAGAAGGUUAACUCAGCCAACUGUUGGAUAUGUUGGUUCAAGCUUGUAGUCGUGCCUGGUAGGCAAAUCCGCCGGGCUUAGAUGAGGAGUGAUAACGAGGCUGCUUGCAGCCGAAGUGAGUGAUACCCUGCUUCCAGGAAAAGCCACUAAGCUUCAGCUAUACACGACCGUACCGCAAACCGACACUGGUGCGCGAGAUGAGUAUUCUAAGGCGCUUGAGAGAACUCAGGAGAAGGAACUCGGCAAAUUGACACCGUAACUUCGGAAGAAGGUGUGCCUUUAGUAGGUGAAGGGAUUUACUCCUGGAGCCCAAUGAGGUUGCAAAAAAUCGGUGGCUGCGACUGUUUAUUAAAAACACAGCACUCUGCAAACACGAAAGUGGACGUAUAGGGUGUGACGCCUGCCCGGUGCUGGAAGAUUAAAUGAUGGGGUGCAAGCUCUUGAUUGAAGUCCCAGUAAACGGCGGCCGUAACGAUAACGGUCCUAAGGUAGCGAAAUUCCUUGUCGGGUAAGUUCCGACCUGCACGAAUGGCGUAACGAUGGCCACACUGUCUCCUCCUGAGACUCAGCGAAGUUGAAAUGUUUGUGAUGAUGCAAUCUCCCCGCGGAAAGACGGAAAGACCCCAUGAACCUUUACUGUAGCUUUGUAUUGGACUUUGAACAGAUCUGUGUAGGAUAGGUGGGAGGCUUUGAAGUAGGGUCGCUAGAUCUUAUGGAGCCAACGUUGAAAUACCACCCUGGUGUGUUUGAGGUUCUAACCUAGGUCCAUUAUCUGGAUCGGGGACAGUGCAUGGUAGGCAGUUUGACUGGGGCGGUCUCCUCCCAAAGCGUAACGGAGGAGUUCGAAGGUACGCUAGUUACGGUCGGACAUCGUGACGAUAGUGCAAUGGCAUAAGCGUGCUUAACUGCGAGACUGACAAGUCGAGCAGAUGCGAAAGCAGGACAUAGUGAUCCGGUGGUUCUGUAUGGAAGGGCCAUCGCUCAACGGAUAAAAGGUACUCUGGGGAUAACAGGCUGAUACCGCCCAAGAGUUCAUAUCGACGGCGGUGUUUGGCACCUCGAUGUCGGCUCAUCUCAUCCUGGGGCUGUAGCCGGUCCCAAGGGUAUGGCUGUUCGCCAUUUAAAGAGGUACGUGAGCUGGGUUUAAAACGUCGUGAGACAGUUUGGUCCCUAUCUUCCGUGGGCGCUGCAGAUUUGAGAAAGCCUGCUCCUAGUACGAGAGGACCGGAGUGGACACACCUCUGGUGUAUCGGUUGUCACGCCAGUGGCAUUGCCGAGUAGCUAAGUGUGGAAGAGAUAACCGCUGAAAGCAUCUAAGCGGGAAACUCGUUUCAAGAUGAGAUCUGCCGGGGCCUUGAGCCCCCUAAAGAGUCGUUCAAGACCAGGACGUUGAUAGGUCGGGUGUGGAAGCGCAGUAAUGCGUUAAGCUAACCGAUACUAAUUGCUCGUGCGGCU